Molecule: ribosomal RNA, 332 nt
Filed under: uncultured Sphingomonas sp.
Lineage: Bacteria; Pseudomonadati; Pseudomonadota; Alphaproteobacteria; Sphingomonadales; Sphingomonadaceae
Description: bacterial SSU rRNA
Rfam family: Bacterial small subunit ribosomal RNA
Source: RNAcentral
UUCGCCCUUAGAGUUUGAUCCUGGCUCAGAACGAACGCUGGCGGCAUGCCUAACACAUGCAAGUCGAACGAAGGCUUCGGCCUUAGUGGCGCACGGGUGCGUAACGCGUGGGAAUCUGCCCUUAGGUUCGGAAUAACAGCUGGAAACGGCUGCUAAUACCGGAUGAUAUCGCGAGAUCAAAGAUUUAUCGCCUGAGGAUGAGCCCGCGUUGGAUUAGGUAGUUGGUGGGGUAAAGGCCUACCAAGCCGACGAUCCAUAGCUGGUCUGAGAGGAUGAUCAGCCACACUGGGACUGAGACACGGCCCAGACUCCUACGGGAGGCAGCAGAAGGG